AUGCACGCUGGCGGCGUGCCUAACACCUGCAAGUCGAGCGGCAGCGAGGGGUGCUUGCACCCUGUCGGCGAGCGGCGGACGGCUGAGUAACGCGUGGGAACGUGCCCCAAAGUGAGGAAUAACUGCCCGAAAGGGUAGCUAAUACCGCAUAUUAUCUUCGGAUCAAAGGAUUUAUCCGCUUUGGGAGCGGCUCGCGUCGGAUUAGGUAGUUGGUGAGGUAAUGGCUCACCAAGCCGACGAUCCGUAGCUGGUCUGAGAGGAUGACCAGCCAGACUGGAACUGAGACACGGUCCAGACUCCUACGGGAGGCAGCAGUGAGGAAUCUUCCACAAUGGGCGAAAGCCUGAUGGAGCAACGCCGCGUGCAGGACGAAGGCCUUCGGGUUGUAAACUGCUUUUAUAAGUGAGGAAUAUGACGGUAACUUAUGAAUAAGGAUCGGCUAACUGCGUG
RNAcentral lists this ribosomal RNA (450 nucleotides) under uncultured bacterium. RNAcentral describes it as "partial 16S ribosomal RNA". It matches the Rfam family "Bacterial small subunit ribosomal RNA", at positions 29 to 507 of the family's 1533-position model. The record is from RNAcentral.